CAGAAAUACAAAACACAGUGGUCAGAAUAGCGAAAAAAUGUGCUCAAGAGCCCUUCAACAGGAUGACAGCAGUUCUACCAAAAUUCUAAGAAGUGCUGGGCAUUUGAGGAUAAAAUACAAUCAACAGUAUGAACCCUUACUCACAGUUUCAAACAGAAUGCCUCCAAAGUCCACAAAUAAAGGUCACCUAUUGGCCUGGCAAGAAUGAGUUGCAGGCUGUGGAAUAUCAAGGAAGCGAGAUCUGUGAGGACCAGCUGUGCUGCUGCAAACCAUUCAAUUACAGCACAAAUAGGAGCCUUGCAUAUGAGGGCAGUGCAACAUUUGUUCCCAGUCAGUGGGCGUGCUGAAAGAAAGUUCUUUGCUCUGGCUGAUAAGGAAGUGUGCUUCCUAUGUCUCUCUAGAGACAAGAAACUUAAACAUUUAGCCAGCCCCAGAAGCCUGAAGCUUCCACUUUCUAAUUUGAGACAUAGGACUUGCUUUUUGUAAAAGCUAUUUUUUGAGACAAAGGAUUCUUUGGUUUAUUUGGUCUGAGUAUAGGGGGAAAAACAGAAAGUAAUUUUUGGCUUCCAUCUCUUCCCAAUACCAUAAUAAGAUAUCUCUUGAAUUAUCAAAACCAAGACACAUUAUGUCAUUCAGCUAACCCUAGGUGAUUAUGACUAUUUUAACAGUAAUAUGCCUUUGUCACAAGCUAAUUACAUCACUAAAACAGAGCUAUUAGUCUUAAAUUAUAAUAAACAGCCAUCAUUCUUCUCCUGCACCAUCCUUCAUUCUCCAUGUGUGAGAAAUUUCCCACUUUGUGGGUGUUGAGGAAAUAAAAACCAUCUUCCAUGAAGAAAAGCUGAUUUCUGAAUGUUUCCAAAGCCGGGCCACAGGCAGCAAUCUUGGGUUUUGCUAGUAGAAGGCUAAUGUAGACUAUGCUGAUUUGUGAGCUGAGGAUGAAAGGUCUAUGAGGUUAUGGUAACAGGAGUUUUCUUCUGCCUCAGCAGCAUAAAUUUCACACACAGCAGUUGAGCUCCGUAAUGGUGAUCAAGGACCAUUUGACCAAGGACCAUUUCUGCUUGCCUUGAGUUGGACAUACAAAAUGAACUGGAACGCUAGCUUACGCCUCCCGUUUAGUAAAUUCUUCAUCUGUUUAAAGAAGUCCGCCAUGCUGUUUACAAGGAAAACCUCGACCAAAACUAGGCUGAAACCUUAACUCGGAUGUGACUCUCUUUCUCAAACUCCCUUCUUCUCUCACCACCUUUCCCCUCUCCUACCUCCUCUCUGCUCUCCUCCCUUCCAUCUUAUCCCCUUGCUUCUUCCCUGACCCACUCCUCUCUCCCAUCCAGUGCUCCUUCACCAUUUCCUUUAUCCUUUCUUCCCUGACCCCUUCACUCUGUAUUACAGUCCUCCCUCCUCUCUCAUCCUUCUUGUUCCCCCUCCUCCUGCUGAACACCCCCUUCCCACUCCUCUUUUCCCUCAUUAUCUUGCCUCUUAAUUUCUAGUCAUUUUUAGUGUUCUUAUGACAAAGUGGCAGAAACAA
Apodemus sylvaticus (European woodmouse) is the source of this 1522-nucleotide long non-coding RNA. RefSeq lists it as uncharacterized. The record is from RefSeq and is a predicted model, not a curated record. The transcript has 3 exons. Lineage: Eukaryota; Metazoa; Chordata; Mammalia; Rodentia; Muridae.